UUGGCUUAGGUUCAAACAUAUGGGAUCAUACGCAUUAGAAGACUUGGUCAGAUCUGAUAGCUGAAAAAGUUCAAUUGGAUUAUGACUCUGGUGAAGAGUCCUACUUGGACUCGGACUCUAUAAGAGAGUCCCACUGGGACUAAGACUCUACCAUUCAUAGAGAAUUAAUUAGUAAUUAGAUUACUAAUUGACUCAAUUUG
RNAcentral lists this long non-coding RNA (200 nucleotides) under Elaeis guineensis (African oil palm). RNAcentral's name for it is "long non-coding RNA (EGUI_LNC014253)". The record is from RNAcentral. Lineage: Eukaryota; Viridiplantae; Streptophyta; Magnoliopsida; Arecales; Arecaceae.